GGGCCUUGACCUUGGAUGACAACAGUAACAUGGAUUCAGGGAAGCAGAUAAUUUGUGAGUCAUCCAAAGGGUAAAUAUUUCUUUUUUUAUAAUGCAAUAUGAUGUUUUCUAAUAAUAGGGUUUCAAGUUACCCUUUCAUGCCGUUUGACUGUACACGUCAAUUACAUAUAGCACCAAGACAUAUACAAACAUAUAUACUAGAACAAUUAUUCAUCAACUUCUUUAAACUAUAUAAAAAAUAUUCUUGCAAAUUAAUUUAAAUAUACCAAAGCAAUCUAUAUACACAUUAUUACUGCAACUGCAAUUAUGUAUUUACUAAAAAGGAAUCAAGCG
RNAcentral lists this long non-coding RNA (333 nucleotides) under Mytilus galloprovincialis (Mediterranean mussel). Lineage: Eukaryota; Metazoa; Mollusca; Bivalvia; Mytilida; Mytilidae. The record is from RNAcentral.